UGAGUUUUGCCUUGGCUCCCUUGGUGUC
This 28-nucleotide non-coding RNA is filed under the name Mus musculus (house mouse). The record is from RNAcentral. Lineage: Eukaryota; Metazoa; Chordata; Mammalia; Rodentia; Muridae.